This 253-nucleotide ribosomal RNA is filed under the name uncultured prokaryote. RNAcentral describes it as "partial 16S ribosomal RNA". It matches the Rfam family "Bacterial small subunit ribosomal RNA", at positions 524 to 776 of the family's 1533-position model. The record is from RNAcentral.
UACGGUGGGGGCUAGCGUUGUUCGGAAUCACUGGGCGUAAAGCGCACGUAGGCGGACUUACAGGUCAAUUGUGAAAUACCUGAGCUCAACUCAGGAACUGCAGUUGAAACCGUUUGUCUUGAAUACCUGAGAGGGUGGGGGAAUACCUGGUGGAGAAGUGAAAUUCGUAGAGAUCAGGUGGAACACCGGAGGCGAAGGCGCCUGCCUGGCAGUGUAUUGACGCUGAGGUGCGAAAGUGCGGGGAGCAAACAGG